AUGGCAGCGACGCGAGCGUGCUUGGUCGCGCUCGCCAUGGCUCUGACGUUUCUCUUCUUGGAGGGCCCAGCCGUGGUGUUGGUGGCGCCGGCGGCGACCACUGAUAGUUUGGUGCAGCGGAGGCGGGAUGUGCAAAGGCUCCUCAGGCGGCUCAAUAAGCCUCCUGUCGCAAGCAUUCUGAGCCCAGAUGGAGAUGUCAUAGACUGUGUGCACAUUUCCAAACAGCCUGCGUUCGACCAUCCUCUCCUCAAGAACCAUACUAUCCAGAUGCGGCCUUCUUACAACCCAGGAGGCAUUUAUCAUGACUCCAACAUCGCACCCCAUCCAAUCACCCAAACAUGGCAUCAAAAUGGUAAGUGCCCUGAGAACACCAUACCAAUCCAGAGGACCAAGGAGGAGGAUGUCCAUAGGGCCAGUUCCAUCAAGAGGUAUGGCAAAAAGAGGCCUAGGAGCAUCCCAAACCUCAGUUCAAUCAACGACCCUGAGGCAACCAAUAUCACGAGGGGCCACCGGCAUGCCGUCGCAUCUACGAGUGUUUAUAAGUUUCAUGGAACCAAAGCCACUUUCAACCUUUGGCAACCAAUGAUUGCCAGAGCGAACGACUUCAGCUUGGCCCAAUUGUGGAUCAGUGGGGGUUCCUACAGUGGCAACGACCUCAAUACUAUUGAAGUAGGAUGGCAGGUUUACCCACAGAUGUAUAAUGAUAACAAUACUAGAAUCUUCAUCUACUGGACACGUGAUGCAUAUCAAACAACAGGAUGUUACAACCUAAAGUGCUCAGGGUUCAUCCAAACGAAUAAUCAAAUCACCCUUGAUGGCAGCAUAUCCCCAGUCUCUAACUAUGGAGGUACACAACAUGACUUGGAUAUUUCAGUUUGGAAGGACCCAAAGGGGGGCAAUUGGUGGCUGCAAGUGGGAACUAAUUAUGUGGGAUAUUGGCCAUCGUCCAUAUUUUCAUAUUUGGCUAAUAAUGCCUCUAGUGUACAAUGGGGUGGUGAGGUAUGGUCACCUGAUGCCGGCCAAACUUCCACACAGAUGGGUAGUGGACACUUCCCCGAGGAAGGGUUUGGCAAGGCUAGUUAUAUAAAGAACAUACAUGUGGUAGAUUCGUUCGACAAUCUCGAACCACUAAGUGAUGUGCAGGUUAUAGCUACGCAGAAGAACUGCUAUAAUGCAGAAAAUGGUUUCUCUAGCGACAUGGGCACUUACAUCUACUAUGGGGGAGCCGGGAAGAACUCCAAUUGCCCAUGA
This 1251-nucleotide ribosomal RNA is filed under the name Triticum aestivum (bread wheat). RNAcentral describes it as "partial small subunit ribosomal RNA". Lineage: Eukaryota; Viridiplantae; Streptophyta; Magnoliopsida; Poales; Poaceae. The record is from RNAcentral.